GUGGGGUUUAACGGCUGAGUUCUCUGAGCUCCCGUGAGUGACAACACAUUAAUGGAAAGGCCCUUCAGCAAGCCCCUUUUUUAUAGCUAAUGUCCACUUCAGCAGGGAGCUCUGUGUGACCUGCAGGCCUGAGUAGCUCCAGGUGGCAUCACUAUGCUGGUGUGUUGCUGGACACGAGCAGCUUUUAUUCAUGAGAUGUUCCAGAUAUUGCCAGCUCUUGAUACCCAAGUCCUAGAGUAAAGAUGGCACAGAGUGGAGCUCCAAGCCAACCUGCGAUGGAUGUGUAAAUUGAGCUAGAAAUAAAUCUUUGGGUUUUUUGAAGGAGCUGAGACUUUGGUGUUGUCUGUUAUUGCAACACAACCCUAGCAUUAUUAAUGGGAUAAUAUGCAUAAGAUGUUGGACCAAUGGUAAAGCAUUAAUAUAUGUCUUUUGUGGUAAUAAUAACUACCAAUCAUUCAGUGCCUUCUAUGUGUCAGGCAUUUCUAUACAUUAUUUCUAAUCUUCAGAAAAAUCUUGCAUAUUAGAAAAACUUCCACUUUAUAAAGGAGAAAAACAAAUCUUGGGAUGGUUAGUGUUCUGCCUAAGGUAUCCAGCUAGGAAGUUGUAGAGCUGGGAUUCAGAUCUGGUGUGUUUCUCCUCAUCUUCAUCUCUUUUCCUUGUCUUUGGAACUUUAUGGCCUUAUUUUAUUGUUGUUUACAUCAUGGUGUGAAUUUCUUUGCAACAUUUGUUUAUGAAAUUCAAAUUAAUUCUUGUAACAAAAUCUCUACCUUCUUGAACUUUUUGCAAGAUAAACAGAAAUAAAUUGAGUUAAAUGUACAGUAGCUUACUAUAUCAAGUCCCUGCUUGUUCUUCAGAAAGCUCAUGAACUCAAGUACCUUUUUCAUUUUUUCUUGGCUUGAAUAUGCCUGAGAGCAGUUAAGAUUUACAUGCUUAUGAAAGGAAAAAAUUGUUUCAAAAUUAGAGUAGAGUGAGUCAGAUUAGAAUAAGUUAGAUUCAGUAAAUUCUCAAACCUGCAUGUUUACAGUCUCUCCCUCUUUCUUAUAACAGCUUUAUGGAGUGUUCACGUACCAUGCAAUUCACCCAUUUAAAGUGUAUGGUUCAAUGACCUUUAGUAUAUUCACAGAGUUGUGCAUCCAUCACCACAAUCAAUUUGAGAACAUUUUUACUACCCCAAAAAGAAACCCCAUGCAUCUUAGCCAUAACGCCCAACUGCCUCACCCACUCCACCCACCCCCAGCCCUAGGCAACUACUGAUCUACUUUCUGGAGUCUGUCUCUUUUUACAAUGGCUCCCAAAAUGACGGUUUCCCACCAUC
Microcebus murinus (gray mouse lemur) is the source of this 1315-nucleotide non-coding RNA. Lineage: Eukaryota; Metazoa; Chordata; Mammalia; Primates; Cheirogaleidae. The record is from RefSeq and is a predicted model, not a curated record.